This 468-nucleotide ribosomal RNA is filed under the name uncultured bacterium. RNAcentral describes it as "partial 16S ribosomal RNA". It matches the Rfam family "Bacterial small subunit ribosomal RNA", at positions 28 to 507 of the family's 1533-position model. The record is from RNAcentral.
GAUGAACGCUGGCGGCGUGCUUAACACAUGCAAGUCGAACGGAAAGGCCGAAGCUUGCUUCGGUACUCGAGUGGCGAACGGGUGAGUAACACGUGGGUGAUCUGCCCUGUACUUCGGGACAAGCUUGGGAAACUGGGUCUAAUACCGGAUAUGACGAUCUCUUGGAUGGGGUUGUGGAAAGCUUUUGCGGUAUGGGAUGAGCUCGCGGCCUAUCAGCUUGUUGGUGGGGUAAUGGCCUACCAAGGCGUCGACGGGUAGCCGGCCUGAGAGGGUGUACGGCCACAUUGGGACUGAGAUACGGCCCAGACUCCUACGGGAGGCAGCAGUGGGGAAUAUUGCACAAUGGGCGCAAGCCUGAUGCAGCGACGCCGCGUGGGGGAUGACGGCCUUCGGGUUGUAAACUCCUUUCGCAAUCGACGAAGCCUUUUGGUGACGGUAGGUUGAGAAGAAGCACCGGCUAACUACGUG